AUUGAACGCUGGCGGCAUGCCUUACACAUGCAAGUCGAACGGCAGCACGGGAGCAAUCCUGGUGGCGAGUGGCGAACGGGUGAGUAAUAUAUCGGAACGUGCCCAGUCGUGGGGGAUAACGUAGCGAAAGCUACGCUAAUACCGCAUACGAUUUAUGGAUGAAAGCGGGGGAUCGCAAGACCUCGCGCGAUUGGAGCGGCCGAUAUCAGAUUAGGUAGUUGGUGGGGUAAAGGCCCACCAAGCCUGCGAUCUGUAGCUGGUCUGAGAGGACGACCAGCCACACUGGAACUGAGACACGGUCCAGACUCCUACGGGAGGCAGCAGUGGGGAAUCUUGGACAAUGGGCGCAAGCCUGAUCCAGCAAUGCCGCGUGCAGGAUGAAGGCCUUCGGGUUGUAAACUGCUUUUGUACGGAGCGAAAAGGCUCUCUCUAAUACAGGGGGCUCAUGACGGUACCGUAAGAAUAAGCACCGGCUAACUACGUGCCAGCCGCCGCGGUAA
RNAcentral lists this ribosomal RNA (500 nucleotides) under uncultured bacterium. RNAcentral describes it as "partial 16S ribosomal RNA". It matches the Rfam family "Bacterial small subunit ribosomal RNA", at positions 30 to 523 of the family's 1533-position model. The record is from RNAcentral.